Molecule: non-coding RNA, 113 nt
Organism: Acanthosepion pharaonis
Lineage: Eukaryota; Metazoa; Mollusca; Cephalopoda; Sepiida; Sepiidae
Source: the annotation of a GenBank genome assembly
UUCGGCCACAUCACAUUGAAACACCAGUUCCCGUACGAUCAGCAAUGUUAGACAACGUUGAGACUGGCGAAUACCUAGAUGGGUGACCGCUUGGGAAUACCAGAUGUUGCAAG